UACGGAGGGGGCUAGCGUUGUUCGGAAUUACUGGGCGUAAAGGGCGCGUAGGUGGCCUUCUAAGUUGAACGUGAAAUCCCUGGGCUCAACCCAGGAACUGCGUCCAAGACUGGGAGGCUUGAAUCCGGGAGAGGGAUGCGGAAUUCCAGGUGUAGCGGUGAAAUGCGUAGAUAUCUGGAGGAACACCGGUGGCGAAGGCGGCAUCCUGGACCGGUAUUGACACUGAGGCGCGAAAGCCAGGGGAGCAAACGGG
This 253-nucleotide ribosomal RNA is filed under the name uncultured bacterium. Its description in RNAcentral is "partial 16S ribosomal RNA". It matches the Rfam family "Bacterial small subunit ribosomal RNA", at positions 524 to 776 of the family's 1533-position model. The record is from RNAcentral.